CAAGUCGAACGGUUAACAGGGGCAACUCUGUUAAUAGUGGCGAAAGGGUGAGGAACGCGUGAGUAACCUGCCUUCAAGUCGGGAAUAGCCCCGGGAAACUGGGAUUAACACCGGAUGUGGUUAUAGGAUCGCAUGAUCUUAUUACUAAAAAUUUAUUGCUUGAAGAGGGGCUCGCGUCCCAUUAGCUAGUUGGUGAGGUAACGGCCCACCAAGGCUGUGAUGGGUAGCUGGUCUGAGAGGACGACCAGCCACACUGGGACUGAGACACUGCCCAGACUCCUACGGGAGGCUGCAGUCGAGAAUCUUCCGCAAUGCGCGAAAGCGUGACGGAGCAAUGCCGCGUGCAGGAUGAAGGCCUUCGGGUCGUAAACUGCUGUCAUCAGGGAAGAAAAAAAUGACGGUACCUGAAGAGGAAGUCACGGCUAACUACGUGCCAGCAGCCGCGGUAAUACGUAGGUGACGAGCGUUGUUCGGAUUUACUGGGCGUAAAGGGUCUGUAGGGGGCCGAAUAAGUCUGAUGUGAAAUCCCGGAGCUUAACUCCGGAACUGCAUUGGAAACUGUUUGGCUUGAGCAUCAGAGAGGAGAAUGGAAUUCCAGGUGUAGCGGUGGAAUGCGUAGAU
This 621-nucleotide ribosomal RNA is filed under the name uncultured bacterium. RNAcentral describes it as "bacterial SSU rRNA". It matches the Rfam family "Bacterial small subunit ribosomal RNA", at positions 58 to 695 of the family's 1533-position model. The record is from RNAcentral.